AAUAUUUCUAACUUCAUUUUCUUUUUUAUUAUAAAAUAAUUUAUAUUAUAAAAGCAUCGGAUAGCAUCUGACGAUAUUCGAAGUGCCCAGAGUCAUAUGCAGGUGCUAAGAAACCGAAGGUUUCAAGAUUUGGAUCGGCAGUAAAAUAAUCUUUUAAAACUACUCAAAUUACAUUGCAAUUGUUUGGAAGUUAUUUGAGUACUUUCAAUGGAAGGAGUAGGUGCGUGAAUGUGAGCUAAAACAACAACAAAAAGCUGCAACAUGAAGAGGCAUUAUGGAUGCUCUGAUUUCGCGGCGUCCAAAAGGAUGGCAAAGAAAAACAAAAUCUUCAAGGAAGCCAAAAGAGCGUUGAACAACACACAACAACAAGCGAAUAGCAAAACUCAAGUAUAACGGCAAUGCAAAUUGUAGUGCAUAAUAGAAACAUAGAUAGCCAAGUUAACGGUACACAGCUGGAACGCGAAUGCUGACAAGGCGAAACAACGACUUGCUCCACUCGCUCGCAGUCGAACGCCAGCAGUGGGCACUGAACGGCAUUUUGAAUUACUGAAAUGCAUAAUUUAGAAUACAUAUUUUGGAGCUACCCAUGUUUUGCUAUGAA
This is a long non-coding RNA of Bactrocera oleae (olive fruit fly), 601 nucleotides long. RefSeq lists it as uncharacterized. The record is from RefSeq and is a predicted model, not a curated record. Lineage: Eukaryota; Metazoa; Arthropoda; Insecta; Diptera; Tephritidae.